GCUGGGCAUGGUGAUGCAUGCCUGUAAUCCUGGCGGCUUGGGAGGCUGAAGCAGGAGGAUCGUGAGUUCAAAGCCAGCCUCAGCAAAAGCAAGGCACUAAGCAACUUAAUGAAACCCUGUCUCUA
Molecule: small RNA, 125 nt
Filed under: Marmota monax (woodchuck)
Lineage: Eukaryota; Metazoa; Chordata; Mammalia; Rodentia; Sciuridae
Source: RNAcentral